UCACAUAACGGCCUCGCAUUGCACUUUCGAACGCGUCUUUCGAGAGAAAGGCGAAGAGGCCAAAUAGACAAAGAUGAAGAGGAAUUGGAAGAUUACGAUAUUUACUGGGUUUCUAGCCUUGUUCGCGGGCUUGUUAAUUACUAAAGCGAACCCUGGGAUACGCCUUCGUUUUACUGACAAAGGUCUCCAAUUAGUUGACACAGUAGCGAUCCAACUUCUGAGUAAGAAAGUCAAGACAGCAACGAUCCCUGACAUAUCUGGAGAUGCUGAUACACCGCUCGGCCAUAUCUCUUACUCGCUGUCAAGCGUGCAUUUCAACUCUUUCUCAAUUCCUUCAUCGACUUUCAAGACGGAUCCAGGAGUUGGACUUACCCUCCAGAUCUCUGGCGCACAAGUGUCGGUGAGCGGGAACUGGCACUACCGCAAAGAUCACUGGCCGCAUGUUAGUGACAGUGGGAGUUUUGACUUGGAUGCAAGCGGGAUAGCUUUGUCUGUUAGUGCAAAACUUGGUGCAGAUAGUACUGGUCAUCCGAGCAUUGCUACAUCCAGCUGUUCUAGUUCAAUAGGAGACGUGAAUAUCCAUUUUCAUGGUGGUGCAAGUUGGCUUUACAACCUUUUUGACAAAUACGUAGCAGGAAAAAUUAAAGAUACUCUACAAGAUAAACUUUGCCAGGAGGUAUCGGAUGUUAUAAAUAACAACGCCGAAAAAGAGCUUUCAACGUUACCAGUGAUAAAGCGCCUCGAUAAAUACGCUCUUAUAAACUAUUCUCUGGUUUCAAGUCCAAUCUUUAAUGAGUCUUACCUGGAUGUCUUCAUCAAAGGAGAGUUCCAAUCUGUGACAGCCCCAAAAGAGGCUCCAUUUUCGCCUGUAAGCCUCCCUGCUGAUUCAGAAUCGGCGAAGAUGGCCUACGUUUGGUUAACUGACUACGUGGUUAACACGGCUGGGCUUGUUUAUCAAGAUGCUGGGUUUCUGAACGAAACUGUCACUCCGUCAAUGCUUCCUCCAAACUUUUCGUACCCUUUAAACACGUCGACAUUUAAGUUAAUCAUACCGAAGUUAUACCUGAUGUAUCCAAACUGUCUCAUGAAGCUGGUGGUACAUUCCACUCUGCGCCCUACCAUAUCUACAACCUCCGCAGGAAUAGCCUUGUCAAUGACUGGUGAGGUGGAAACCUACGCACAAUUAAAAAAUGGUUCAUUUGGGUACACUUUCACAAUGGGACUGAACAUAUCUGCAACCGUGAAGAUUGCAGUGAGACAAACAAAUAUUACUGGUCAUGUGGAUACAGUCAAAAAUUGGUGACGUUGGCUUUCCUUUGCCAGUAGUGGACGGAGUUCAGCUGGUAAAUGCUGAAAUAACGUCUGGAAAGGGCUUCAACUUGAUU
Molecule: unclassified non-coding RNA, 1385 nt
Filed under: Stylophora pistillata
Lineage: Eukaryota; Metazoa; Cnidaria; Anthozoa; Scleractinia; Pocilloporidae
Description: lipopolysaccharide-binding protein-like, transcript variant X1
Source: RNAcentral